Molecule: ribosomal RNA, 154 nt
Organism: Gossypium arboreum
Lineage: Eukaryota; Viridiplantae; Streptophyta; Magnoliopsida; Malvales; Malvaceae
Product: 5.8S ribosomal RNA
Exons: 1
Source: RefSeq, a predicted model, not a curated record
GACUCUUGGCAAUGGAUAUCUCGGCUCUCGUAUCGAUGAAGAGCGUGGCGAAAUGCGAUACUUGGUGUGAAUUGCAAAAUUUCAUGAACCAUCGAGUCUUUGAAUGCAAGUUGCGCCCCAAGCCAUUAAGGUGAGGCACGUCUGCUGGGUGUCA